UCUUUUCAAGGCAUCCCCACCAACCCCAUGAAUUACCCCAUAACAUCCAUAUGUGCUCCUUCCCAAGGACAGAUUGACAGAAAGAGAUACAAAAAGGGGAACAGACAAUGACACGUAUGAUUAUUCAGACAAUCUCAGACUGAUAACAUGAAUGGUAACUCUGGUAAAUGUAAACAUUUGGAGCAUACCUUUGGAAGAAUUUGUUUGCAUUCGGGCCGCUCUUUUCUUCCCACAUCUCUGUUCAAAGUGAGCAGCAGCCAUCUUUUGAUGAACGUUUAAAUCUCUCCAUCUGAUGCACUGCAAGUACUUGCAUUUCUUUGCACUGAUUGAAAAAGACAAAAAAAGACCAGUCGCAAUACAGUGGUGUCAAACUCAAUUCUUGGAGGGCCGCAGCUCUGCGCAGCUUAGUUCCAACCAGCUCCAACUCACACCUGCUUGGAAGUUUCUAGUAAUCCUGAAGACCUUGAUUAGCUGGAUCACGUGUGCUUGAUUAUGGUUGGAGCUAAACUCUAGCACUAUGUCAGCGAACUCACAAUUAUAGCUUCAUUAUAAAUAAACGUUAUUUCGAUAUUAUAUGUGUAGAAUGGUUUAUUAAAAUUAUAUUAUAUGUUAGAUUAUCAAAUGUUUACUCACAAGGGUAGCAAGUUCUUCUGGUCUUCUGGCAAUUAGCAGCACAAAAAGCCCGUCAGGUUUUGUCAUUAGAUGUCAAAGCUAGUGCGCAUGUCUUGAAACUCAUGCAUAUAGCAAAAAAAUGUUAAAGUUCCCUUAACCACUUUAAGCUUGUUUCAUUAUAUGAAUUAAAUCAUUAAUUUCCAAAAGUAGUUAAAGAAAAAACGAGAAUGUUGGAUAAAAGGGAAAAAAAAUAUUAAUAGGAAUUAAAAUAAAUACACAAAAAAUAACAUGGGCAGGUAAAAGAUAUUAUGUUUAAGUUUAAGUGUCACUGCUACAUACUAUUUACUAUUUACAUUGUAACUGGAAACUCACCACCAGCACUCAACCUAAACUGGUCCGGGUCUGCAUGCCCAUAUCUCACCCAAAAUCAGACCAGCCCUUAUGGUCCGUAAUCGGGCCGAAUGUGGCUAAAUGUGCCGUGUCUCAGUGCAAAUCGGACCAGAUCUGCACAUCCAAAGCCUAGCCAAAUCUGGCAACCAUUACUGGGCCAGAGCUGGCUCACUUUUGGUGAGCCGCUGCCAGAACACAGCUGAGUGAGCCGACACUCAGCCGCAAUUGGCCCGAUUGCGCUGACUACCUGGGUUGAUUCUGAUUAGUCAGUUGUGGCAUUCAGUAGUCAAAUAUGUUUAAAUAAAUGCUAACCUUCUUCAGCAUUAUGACACUAUAAAAUCAUUUCUACUCAAAUAACUUUUUUCAUGUCCACAUAUUUAUUUAUUUGGCAAGUAGCUGUGUAAUACCUGAGAAAAAUGUAUAGUCGACCAAUUAUUAUUGCAAAAUUAAUUUGCAAUAGUAACCAGCUGACUGAACAUUAUCCGUUACAUAAACUUUAGUCAGGGUAGAUGCCAUUGAACAGCCUCAUUCAUGUCAAACUAAAUAUGACGUCCAUGCAUGGCAGGCCAUGAACAUCAAAACACUACAUUUUAAUUGG
Molecule: long non-coding RNA, 1600 nt
Organism: Sinocyclocheilus grahami
Lineage: Eukaryota; Metazoa; Chordata; Actinopteri; Cypriniformes; Cyprinidae
Exons: 2
Source: RefSeq, a predicted model, not a curated record